This 371-nucleotide ribosomal RNA is filed under the name uncultured organism. RNAcentral describes it as "bacterial SSU rRNA". It matches the Rfam family "Bacterial small subunit ribosomal RNA", at positions 526 to 896 of the family's 1533-position model. The record is from RNAcentral.
CGUAGGGUGCGAGCGUUAAUCGGAAUUACUGGGCGUAAAGCGUGUGCAGGCGGUCUGUUAAGACAGGUGUGAAAUCCCCGGGCUUAACCUGGGAAUGGCGCUUGUUACUGGCAGACUAGAGUGCGUCAGAGGGGGGUGGAAUUCCACGUGUAGCAGUGAAAUGCGUAGAGAUGUGGAGGAACACCGAUGGCGAAGGCAGCCCCCUGGGAUGACACUGACGCUCAUACACGAAAGCGUGGGGAGCAAACAGGAUUAGAUACCCUGGUAGUCCACGCCCUAAACGAUGUCAACUGGUUGUUGGGUGACUUGAUCACUUAGUAACGUAGCUAACGCGUGAAGUUGACCGCCUGGGGAGUACGGUCGCAAGAUUA